RNAcentral lists this ribosomal RNA (445 nucleotides) under uncultured bacterium. RNAcentral's name for it is "bacterial SSU rRNA". It matches the Rfam family "Bacterial small subunit ribosomal RNA", at positions 30 to 474 of the family's 1533-position model. The record is from RNAcentral.
AUUGAACGCUGGCGGCAUGCCUUACACAUGCAAGUCGAACGGCAGCACGGGAGCUUGCUCCUGGUGGCGAGUGGCGAACGGGUGAGUAAUACAUCGGAACGUACCCUGAAGUGGGGGAUAACGUAGCGAAAGUUACGCUAAUACCGCAUAUUCUGUGAGCAGGAAAGAGGGGGAUCGCAAGACCUCUUGCUUUAGGAGCGGCCGAUGUCGGAUUAGCUAGUUGGUGAGGUAAAGGCUCACCAAGGCGACGAUCCGUAGCGGGUCUGAGAGGAUGAUCCGCCACACUGGGACUGAGACACGGCCCAGACUCCUACGGGAGGCAGCAGUGGGGGAAUUUUGGACAAUGGGCGCAAGCCUGAUCCAGCCAUGCCGCGUGAGUGAAGAAGGCCUCGGUUGUAAGACGUCUUCGUGGGAGAAUUAGCACAGGAGUAAUACCUUAGUGUAG